RNAcentral lists this ribosomal RNA (1481 nucleotides) under metagenome. RNAcentral's name for it is "bacterial SSU rRNA". It matches the Rfam family "Bacterial small subunit ribosomal RNA". The record is from RNAcentral.
AGAGUUUGAUCAUGGCUCAGGAUGAACGCUGGCGGCGUGCUUAACACAUGCAAGUCGAACGGGAAUUACUUUAUUGAAACUUCGGUCGAUUUAAUUUAAUUCUAGUGGCGGACGGGUGAGUAACGCGUGGGUAACCUGCCUUAUACAGGGGGAUAACAGUCAGAAAUGGCUGCUAAUACCGCAUAAGCGCACAGAGCUGCAUGGCUCGGUGUGAAAAACUCCGGUGGUAUAAGAUGGACCCGCGUUGGAUUAGCUGGUUGGUGGGGUAACGGCCCACCAAGGCGACGAUCCAUAGCCGGCCUGAGAGGGUGAACGGCCACAUUGGGACUGAGACACGGCCCAGACUCCUACGGGAGGCAGCAGUGGGGAAUAUUGCACAAUGGGGGAAACCCUGAUGCAGCGACGCCGCGUGAAGGAAGAAGUAUCUCGGUAUGUAAACUUCUAUCAGCAGGGAAGAUAGUGACGGUACCUGACCAAGAAGCCCCGGCUAACUACGUGCCAGCAGCCGCGGUAAUACGUAGGGGGCAAGCGUUAUCCGGAUUUACUGGGUGUAAAGGGAGCGCAGGCGGGAAGACAAGUUGGAAGUGAAAUCCAUGGGCUCAACCCAUGAACUGCUUUCAAAACUGUUUUUCUUGAGUAGUGCAGAGGUAGGCGGAAUUCCCGGUGUAGCGGUGGAAUGCGUAGAUAUCGGGAGGAACACCAGUGGCGAAGGCGGCCUACUGGGCACCAACUGACGCUGAGGCUCGAAAGUGUGGGUAGCAAACAGGAUUAGAUACCCUGGUAGUCCACACUGUAAACGAUGAUUACUAGGUGUUGGAGGAUUGACCCCUUCAGUGCCGCAGUUAACACAAUAAGUAAUCCACCUGGGGAGUACGACCGCAAGGUUGAAACUCAAAGGGAUUGACGGGGGCCCGCACAAGCAGUGGAGUAUGUGGUUUAAUUCGACGCAACGCGAAGAACCUUACCAAGUCUUGACAUCCCUUGACGAUGCUGGAAACAGUAUUUCUCUUCGGAGCAAGGAGACAGGUGGUGCAUGGUUGUCGUCAGCUCGUGUCGUGAGAUGUUGGGUUAAGUCCCGCAACGAGCGCAACCCUUAUGGUCAGUUACUACGCAAGAGGACUCUGGCCAGACUGCCGUUGACAAAACGGAGGAAGGUGGGGAUGACGUCAAAUCAUCAUGCCCUUUAUGACUUGGGCUACACACGUACUACAAUGGCGUUAAACAAAGAGAAGCAAGACCGCGAGGUGGAGCAAAACUCAGAAACAACGUCCCAGUUCGGACUGCAGGCUGCAACUCGCCUGCACGAAGUCGGAAUUGCUAGUAAUCGCAGAUCAGCAUGCUGCGGUGAAUACGUUCCCGGGCCUUGUACACACCGCACGUCACACCAUGAGAGCCGGGGGGACCCGAAGUCGGUAGUCUAACCGCAAGGAGGACGCCGCCGAAGGUAAAACUGGUGAUUGGGGUGAAGUCGUAACAAGGUA